RNAcentral lists this unclassified non-coding RNA (144 nucleotides) under uncultured Ascomycota. RNAcentral describes it as "sequence contains ITS1". Lineage: Eukaryota; Fungi; Ascomycota. The record is from RNAcentral.
CUGAGUGAGGGUUCCGGCCCGACCUCCAACCCCAUGUUUUCCGACUCUGUUGCCUCGGGGGCGACCCGGCCUUCGGGCGUCGGGGCCCCCGGUGGUCCACAUCAACUCUGCAUCUGUGCGUCCGAGUCAAUAUUGAAUCAAUCA